RNAcentral lists this transfer RNA (87 nucleotides) under Flavobacteriaceae bacterium LYZ1037. RNAcentral describes it as "tRNA-Leu". It matches the Rfam family "tRNA". Rfam says of the family: Transfer RNA (tRNA) molecules are approximately 80 nucleotides in length. Lineage: Bacteria; Pseudomonadati; Bacteroidota; Flavobacteriia; Flavobacteriales; Flavobacteriaceae. The record is from RNAcentral.
GCGCACGUGGCGGAAUUGGUAGACGCGCCAGCUUGAGGGGUUGGUGAACAUUAGUUCGUGGAAGUUCGAAUCUUCUCGUGCGCACAA